RNAcentral lists this ribosomal RNA (535 nucleotides) under fungal sp. E14405A. Its description in RNAcentral is "eukaryotic LSU rRNA". The stretch from base 180 to 333 matches the Rfam family "5.8S ribosomal RNA". Lineage: Eukaryota; Fungi. The record is from RNAcentral.
UUCGUAGGUGAACCUGCGGAGGGAUCAUUACCGAGUUUACAACUCCCAAACCCCUGUGAACAUACCUAUACGUUGCCUCGGCGGAUCAGCCCGCGCCCCGUAAAACGGGACGGCCCGCCCGAGGACCCCUAAACUCUGUUUUUAGUGGAACUUCUGAGUAAAACAAACAAAUAAAUCAAAACUUUCAACAACGGAUCUCUUGGUUCUGGCAUCGAUGAAGAACGCAGCAAAAUGCGAUAAGUAAUGUGAAUUGCAGAAUUCAGUGAAUCAUCGAAUCUUUGAACGCACAUUGCGCCCGCCAGUAUUCUGGCGGGCAUGCCUGUUCGAGCGUCAUUUCAACCCUCAAGCUCAGCUUGGUGUUGGGACUCGCGGUAACCCGCGUUCCCCAAAUCGAUUGGCGGUCACGUCGAGCUUCCAUAGCGUAGUAAUCAUACACCUCGUUACUGGUAAUCGUCGCGGCCACGCCGUUAAACCCCAACUUCUGAAUGUUGACCUCGGAUCAGGUAGGAAUACCCGCUGAACUUAAGCAUAUCAA